AGCGUACACGGUGGAUGCCCUGGCAGUCAGAGGCGAUGAAGGGCGUGCUAAUCUGCGAUAAGCGCCGGUAAGGUGAUAUGAACCGUUAUAACCGGCGAUACCCGAAUGGGGAAACCCAGUGUGACUCGUCACACUAUCAUUAACUGAAUCCAUAGGUUAAUGAGGCGAACCGGGGGAACUGAAACAUCUAAGUACCCCGAGGAAAAGAAAUCAACCGAGAUUCCCCCAGUAGCGGCGAGCGAACGGGGAGGAGCCCAGAGCCUGAAUCAGCAUGUGUGUUAGUGGAAGCGUCUGGAAAGGCGCGCGAUACAGGGUGACAGCCCCGUACACAAAAGCGCAUGUGCUGUGAGCUCGAUGAGUAGGGCGGGACACGUGGUAUCCUGUCUGAAUAUGGGGGGACCAUCCUCCAAGGCUAAAUACUCCUGACUGACCGAUAGUGAACCAGUACCGUGAGGGAAAGGCGAAAAGAACCCCGGCGAGGGGAGUGAAAAAGAACCUGAAACCGUGUACGUACAAGCAGUGGGAGCCCCACCACUAAGCCAGUGGUGAACUCCACAUACGCAUCCUUUGCUGAGGAUACGGUUAACGGAGCGAAAGCGACGUUCAACCUCAAAAGAAGCAGAGGGGGCUUAGUGGUGGGGUGACUGCGUACCUUUUGUAUAAUGGGUCAGCGACUUAUAUUCUGUAGCAAGGUUAACCGUAUAGGGGAGCCGUAGGGAAACCGAGUCUUAACCGGGCGUUAAGUUGCAGGGUAUAGACCCGAAACCCGGUGAUCUAGCCAUGGGCAGGUUGAAGGUUGGGUAACACUAACUGGAGGACCGAACCGACUAAUGUUGAAAAAUUAGCGGAUGACCUGUGGCUGGGGGUGAAAGGCCAAUCAAACCGGGAGAUAGCUGGUUCUCCCCGAAAGCUAUUUAGGUAGCGCCUCGUGAACUCAUCUCCGGGGGUAGAGCACUGUUUCGGCUAGGGGGCCAUCCCGGCUUACCAACCCGAUGCAAACUGCGAAUACCGGAGAAUGUUAUCACGGGAGACACACGGCGGGUGCUAACGUCCGUCGUGAAGAGGGAAACAACCCAGACCGCCAGCUAAGGUCCCAAAGUCAUGGUUAAGUGGGAAACGAUGUGGGAAGGCCCAGACAGCCAGGAUGUUGGCUUAGAAGCAGCCAUCAUUUAAAGAAAGCGUAAUAGCUCACUGGUCGAGUCGGCCUGCGCGGAAGAUGUAACGGGGCUAAACCAUGCACCGAAGCUGCGGCAGCGAACGUAUCACCCAAGACAACUUUACGGAGUUGACGAUUGACGGAGCGAAGCGACGUCAAAGCGUUCAUUAAAGUCGAGUUGGCUUAGGGAUACGUUCGUUGGGUAGGGGAGCGUUCUGUAAGCCUGCGAAGGUGGCCUGUGAGGGUUGCUGGAGGUAUCAGAAGUGCGAAUGCUGACAUAAGUAACGAUAAAGCGGGUGAAAAGCCCGCUCGCCGGAAGACCAAGGGUUCCUGUCCAACGUUAAUCGGGGCAGGGUGAGUCGACCCCUAAGGCGAGGCCGAAAGGCGUAGUCGAUGGGAAACGGGUUAAUAUUCCCGUACUUGGUGUUACUGCGAAGGGGGGACGGAGAAGGCUAUGUUGGCCGGGCGACGGUUGUCCCGGUUUAAGCGUGUAGGUGUGUGUUCCAGGUAAAUCCGGUUCACUUUAACACUGAGGCGUGACGACGAGGCACUACGGUGCUGAAGCAACAAAUGCCCUGCUUCCAGGAAAAGCCUCUAAGCAUCAGGUAACAUCAAAUCGUACCCCAAACCGACACAGGUGGUCAGGUAGAGAAUACCAAGGCGCUUGAGAGAACUCGGGUGAAGGAACUAGGCAAAAUGGUGCCGUAACUUCGGGAGAAGGCACGCUGACACGUAGGUGAAGUGAUUUACUCAUGGAGCUGAAGUCAGUCGAAGAUACCAGCUGGCUGCAACUGUUUAUUAAAAACACAGCACUGUGCAAACACGAAAGUGGACGUAUACGGUGUGACGCCUGCCCGGUGCCGGAAGGUUAAUUGAUGGGGUCAGCGCAAGCGAAGCUCCUGAUCGAAGCCCCGGUAAACGGCGGCCGUAACUAUAACGGUCCUAAGGUAGCGAAAUUCCUUGUCGGGUAAGUUCCGACCUGCACGAAUGGCGUAAUGAUGGCCAGGCUGUCUCCACCCGAGACUCAGUGAAAUUGAACUCGCUGUGAAGAUGCAGUGUACCCGCGGCAAGACGGAAAGACCCCGUGAACCUUUACUAUAGCUUGACACUGAACAUUGAGCCUUGAUGUGUAGGAUAGGUGGGAGGCUUUGAAGUGUGGACGCCAGUCUGCAUGGAGCCGACCUUGAAAUACCACCCUUUAAUGUUUGAUGUUCUAACGUGGACCCGUUACCCGGGUUGCGGACAGUGUCUGGUGGGUAGUUUGACUGGGGCGGUCUCCUCCUAAAGAGUAACGGAGGAGCACGAAGGUUGGCUAAUCCUGGUCGGACAUCAGGAGGUUAGUGCAAUGGCAUAAGCCAGCUUGACUGCGAGCGUGACGGCGCGAGCAGGUGCGAAAGCAGGUCAUAGUGAUCCGGUGGUUCUGAAUGGAAGGGCCAUCGCUCAACGGAUAAAAGGUACUCCGGGGAUAACAGGCUGAUACCGCCCAAGAGUUCAUAUCGACGGCGGUGUUUGGCACCUCGAUGUCGGCUCAUCACAUCCUGGGGCUGAAGUAGGUCCCAAGGGUAUGGCUGUUCGCCAUUUAAAGUGGUACGCGAGCUGGGUUUAGAACGUCGUGAGACAGUUCGGUCCCUAUCUGCCGUGGGCGCUGGAGAACUGAGGGGGGCUGCUCCUAGUACGAGAGGACCGGAGUGGACGCAUCACUGGUGUUCGGGUUGUCAUGCCAAUGGCACUGCCCGGUAGCUAAAUGCGGAAGAGAUAAGUGCUGAAAGCAUCUAAGCACGAAACUUGCCCCGAGAUGAGUUCU
This 2960-nucleotide ribosomal RNA is filed under the name Salmonella enterica subsp. enterica serovar Mbandaka. RNAcentral's name for it is "bacterial LSU rRNA". It matches the Rfam family "Bacterial large subunit ribosomal RNA". The record is from RNAcentral. Lineage: Bacteria; Pseudomonadati; Pseudomonadota; Gammaproteobacteria; Enterobacterales; Enterobacteriaceae.